This 449-nucleotide ribosomal RNA is filed under the name uncultured bacterium. RNAcentral describes it as "partial 16S ribosomal RNA". It matches the Rfam family "Bacterial small subunit ribosomal RNA", at positions 338 to 795 of the family's 1533-position model. The record is from RNAcentral.
CCUACGGGUGGCAGCAGUGGGGAAUUUUGGACAAUGGGCGCAAGCCUGAUCCAGCCAUGCCGCGUGCAGGAUGAAGGCCCUCGGGUUGUAAACUGCUUUUGUACGGAACGAAAAGCCUCUCUCGAAUAAAGAGGGGUGAUUACGGUACCGUAAGCAUAAGAACCGGCUAACUACGUGCCAGCAGCCGCGGUAAUACGUAGGGUGCGAGCGUUAAUAAGGAGUGCGCGGCGGAACGCGCAAGACAGUGGUGAAAUCCCCGGGCUCAACCUGGGAACGGCCAUUGUGACUGCAAGGCUGGAGUACGGCAGAGGGGGAUGGAAUUCCGCGUGUAGCAGUGAAAUGCGUAGAUAUGCGGAGGAACACCGAUGGCGAAGGCAGUCCCCUGGGCCUGUACUGACGCUCAUGCACGAAAGCGUGGGGAGCAAACAGGAUUAGAUACCCCGGUAGUC